CAUGAAGCUGGAAUCGCUAGUAAUCGCGGAUCAGAAUGCCGCGGUGAAUACGUUCCCGGGUCUUGUACACACCGCCCGUCACACCAUGGGAGUCGGAAAUGCCCGAAGUCUGUGACCCAACCUGCAAGGGAGGGAGCAGCCGAAGGCAGGUCGGAUGACUGAGGUGAAGUCGUAACAAGGUAUC
Molecule: ribosomal RNA, 184 nt
Filed under: uncultured bacterium
Lineage: Bacteria
Description: partial 16S ribosomal RNA
Rfam family: Bacterial small subunit ribosomal RNA
Source: RNAcentral